RNAcentral lists this ribosomal RNA (391 nucleotides) under Chrysophyceae sp. RNAcentral describes it as "partial small subunit ribosomal RNA". It matches the Rfam family "Eukaryotic small subunit ribosomal RNA", at positions 582 to 975 of the family's 1831-position model. The record is from RNAcentral. Lineage: Eukaryota; Chrysophyceae.
AUUCCAGCUCCAAUAGCGUAUACUAAAGUUGUUGCAGUUAAAAAGCUCGUAGUUGAAUUUCUGGUCUCGGACUUCGGUCUGCCUCAAACGAGGUACGUACCAGUUGUCUGAAUCCAUCCUCGGGGAGAACAUAUGUGUCAUUUGGUUGACGUGUAUGGGAUCCUCGUCAUUUACUGUGAGCAAAAUAGAGUGUUCAAAGCAGGCUUAUGCCGUUGAAUACAUUAGCAUGGAAUAAUAAGAUAAGACCUUGGUCUAUUUUGUUGGCUUGUACUCCAAGGUAAUGAUUAAUAGGGAUAGUUGGGGGUAUUCGUAUUCAAUUGUCAGAGGUGAAAUUCUUGGAUUUAUGGAAGACGAACUACUGCGAAAGCAUUUACCAAGGAUAUUUUCAUUA